Molecule: long non-coding RNA, 918 nt
Filed under: Varroa destructor (honeybee mite)
Lineage: Eukaryota; Metazoa; Arthropoda; Arachnida; Mesostigmata; Varroidae
Description: uncharacterized LOC111247576, transcript variant X1
Source: RNAcentral
UCAAUCUCGGUCAGGUCUGAAAACACAUAAUAUGUUUAAGAUAUUCAACUGCUUUUAUUCAGUCAGCCUUAGAUGUGACCAGAAUGGAUUAGUAUUGGACAUUUGUGCAGUGAACAAGUGUAAUGCCUUCAGGCUCGAAGUGUACACGGCCUAUUUGGAUUCGGUUGAUUCAAGUCCGGAAUGGACAAGUAUUAUUAGGAAAAGCAUGCUCCCGGUGCUUGGGCCCCGUCAUCGAACGUCGGUGAAACGCGUUUAACUAGACAAAUGUAUACGCUAUUCUGAGGCUGAGUCCACACGUGCAUGCAACGAUUAUAUCGUAUAUAACUUCAUCGCUAGAGCAAAAUGCAAAGACCUCACAGACGCCAAAAAACAGCCAGGUCUCCGCGAAGUCAGAAGGUCUUCUCGACAUGCCCAAACCCUUCUUCGUAUCGCUCGUUCGGCCGAAGUCAAAUAUGGAGUGGCAGAUGAACAGUAAAUAGAAAGACAACAAAUUACGACGACUGGCGCAUAUAGGUGUCGGUCGCUGUCAAUAGAAGCCAACCGCAGCCCUAAAGAAACUGUGCCUUUACUAUCGGCGCAGCUUCAAUUUUUAUGCCCUAUAAGUUUAAAUAAAUAAACAGGUCUGAAGUAAUUAUGUAGAGCAUAUAGGUCAACUUGUUUGCGUGAGGUUUCUCUGAUGUGAGAUUCUUUUUUCUUAUUGGAAAACGCAUCACUUGAACAAAAACAAAAUUCUUAACCCCUAUUAAAUCGUUGUAGCGUUUCAACGCAUCGACCAGAUUAGUGUAGCUGCAUUAUCAUUAGAAAUCAUAAUCACUUCUAUUGGCAAACUUCAGUUUGAACACUUAACGGUAUGUUUUGGAGGUAAAUAAAAAAAGGACUGAAAGAAGAGUGCGAUAUAGGGAGUAAACAAAAAGUGCG